This 443-nucleotide ribosomal RNA is filed under the name uncultured bacterium. RNAcentral's name for it is "partial 16S ribosomal RNA". It matches the Rfam family "Bacterial small subunit ribosomal RNA", at positions 338 to 795 of the family's 1533-position model. The record is from RNAcentral.
CCUACGGGGGGCUGCAGUGGGGAAUAUUGGGCAAUGGUCGCAAGCCUGACCCAGCACCGCCGCGUGAAGGAAGAAGGCUUUCGGGUUGUACACUUCUUUUCUGAGGGACGAAGAAAGUGACGGUACCUCAGGAAUAAGCCACGGCUAACUACGUGCCAGCAGCCGCGGUAAUACGUAGGUGGCAAGCGUUAUCCGGAUUUAUUGGGUGUAAAGGGCGUGUAGGCGGGAAAGCAAGUCAGAUGUGAAAACUCAGGGAUCAACCCUGAGCCUGCAUUUGAAACUGUUUGUGUUGAGUGCUGGAGAGGCAAUCGGAAUUCCGUGUGUAGCGGGGAAAUGCGUAGAUAUACGGAGGAACACCAGUGGCGAAGGCGGAUUGCUGGACAGUAACUGACGCUGAGGCGCGAAAGCGUGGGGAGCAAACAGGAUUAGAUACCCCUGUAGUC